Oncorhynchus tshawytscha (Chinook salmon) is the source of this 1492-nucleotide long non-coding RNA. NCBI's taxonomy places the organism in Eukaryota, Metazoa, Chordata, Actinopteri, Salmoniformes, Salmonidae. The record is from Ensembl.
GUGCCUUAUUGCUAUUAUAAACUGGUUACAAUGUAAUUAGAGCAGUAAAAAUGUAUGUUUUGUCAUACCUGUGGCUAUAGCACGGCUGUCAGCCAAUCAGCAUUCAGGGUUAGAACCACCCAGUUUAUAAUUUGUAAUAGAGAUGUAUCUGUAGAAUAUUUACUGUGUAUUGGAAGAGUUUACGUCCUCGCUUCAUUCUCUACUGUGGGAGUCAUGUUCGGGACUUUGCAUUUUAUUUCACUGCCUGUGUCUGUUUUCAUUUUCAUAUUGUUCAAAAUACACUGAUGGUUGUUCAGAAAAAGUCAUACUGUGAAGGGAACACUGGAUAAGUCAAGAGAGACACAUUUCUUAAAGCCACAAAUCUGGAAUUUGUACUUGUUUUGAUAUUCAGCUGAGGGAUGUGACAUGCAAAGGGACAUGUGAGAUUUUCUCAAGACUGACUUGGUGAACAGCUGGCUAGAACACAGGAGUAUUGUCCUUAUACACAAAAACAGUAUUUCAUCACUUUCUACAUCUGCACCUGAAGAGAUUCACCACUUGUCUUCACCAUGUCUGCAGGGUAGGGUAGCCUAGUGGUUAGAGCGUUGGACUAGUAACCGGAAGGUUGCAAGUUCAAAUAAAGGUCAAAUAAAAAUAAAUAAAAAAUUUACAUAGGGAAUAGGUUUCCAUUAGAGACAGUAGGGAAUAGGUUUCCAUUAGAGACAGUAGGGAAUAGGUUUCCAUUAGAGACAGUAGGGAAUAGGUUUCCAUUAGAGACAGUAGGGAAUAGGUUGCCAUUGGAGACAGUAGGGAAUAGGUUUCCAUUAGAGAUGCUAGGGAAUAGGUUUCCAUUAGAGAUGCUAGGGAAUAGGUUUCCAUUAGAGAUGCUAGGGAAUAGGUUGCCAUUGGAGACUCUAGGGAAUAGGUUACCAUGGGAGACUCUAGGGAAUAGGUUACCAUUGGAGACAGUAGGGAAUAGGUUACCAUUGGAGACAGUAGGGAAUAGGUUACCAUUGGAGACUCUAGGGAAUAGGUUACCAUUGGAGACUCUAGGGAAUAGGUUACCAUUGGAGACAGUAGGGAAUAGGUUACCAUUAGUGAAGCACAAUGUUACUUAUUUCAAAACAUUUACAGCACUAUAGUGCUGUGAACAGGUACAAUCUUUUUUCACACCCAGAUUUUUCCUACAUACUGUUUGCUGUUCUCCAGUAUUUAUUUGUGUUGGCGGUGCGAGGGGGUCCAUGUCCUUUGUCUUGUCAAGAUAAAGGAAACAACGACUGAAUCUUAGUAGUGUUGCACCAUAACAACACGCUCUUUAAUCUCAGACAACAACAGCAUUUAUUUUGUCUUCCAAAUGGCAGCCUAUUCCCUAUGGGCUCUGGUCUAAAGUAGUGCAUUAUAUAUAGGGAAUAGGGUGCCAUAGGGCUCUGGUCUAAAGUAGUGCACGAUAUAGGGAAUAGGGUACCAUAGGUCUCUGGUCUAAAGUAGUGCACUAUAUAGGGAAUAGGGUGGC